GGUAUCAAAGUCACAUUGUAAACACAGUUUGCUGAACCCUACAGUAAUUUGUAAAGUUUGUUUGUGUAUACCAAUCUUAGAUUUUCUAAAACAUAAUAAAGUUUUUUUUUAUGUUGUAUUUAACAUACAAAAGUCCAAAAUAUAUCCAGACAGGCAGGAACUAUGGUUGCCACUUUAAAAAACAAAUGUUUUAGCAUGAUACACUAUUCUGUGUAUGUACGGAUAAAUAAUCAAACUUUGAACUUUUCAAAUCAUAAACAACUACAUUAUUUGUUACUUUGAGCCUUUAAUAUGUAAAACAAAUACAUACAGUUUACUCUUCUUAGUUUAAAAUAUACUUACUUUGAACAAUUCAACUAAUGCAAGACUAUCAAAAACUUCAUAAGCCAUACAAAUGUCAACUUCAUUUUCAAAAUUAUGAGAACUCAAAAAAAAAAAAAAAAAGCUAAAGCAUGGCAGUUUAGUUUUAAACAAAGAUAAAUACCUUUUUAUUUGCACUUGUGAUAAGAAUCAACUGUAUUCAUUUAGGAGUAAGUAGGAAAUGAUGCAGUUAUAACUCGUUGUGUGGUGACUGUGAUGGUAUUUACUGUCCUGGGGAUGGUGGGAUCCGGUGGCCCAGAAUCAUCAGCACCUUACCAUGUUCACUGCUGUCCUUUCGCUCUGUCACUAAGAUUAGUUUCCGAGACUCAUCAACUCUUUCUAUCACUGUGUGAACAACUGUUUUGCACUGCGUUAGCGUCUGCCUUCGGUUUCUGCUAAUUUUCUUUGACUUUCAUUUUUCUUGUCCUUCUCUGGUGUUUGCUUUGCUGCUCCACUUUGAGGAGUCUGGGCAGCUUCACCCUCAGGCGCUCCAACAGUUCGUCCAUUUGGCUGAAGCUCUCCGUUCUUCUGUUCUUGGCGUCUGAGAUUUGUCAGCAAGGCCUGGUUUACAGGGACCAGGGCUACCGCCUCCUCCCGCCUGCGGGGCUCCUCCUUCACUUCUGGCGGGCACCAGUUCCAGUCUUGACUCAGCUGAGCACAGCAGGAACAGCGACAGCAGCCGGAGCACCCACGUCCAAGGUCGCCCAGCCCGGGGACCCCUUGGCUCAAAGCCAGGGUCGGGGCUCAGGGUGGUGCGCAGAAAUCCGCGGUCAACCAGAGCAUUUCCCACAGCUGGGCGAGCCCUCCUCGACCUGCGGGGCCAGUUCCUCCCACUGGCUUUCUGCUGCCACCUCCCCUUCCAUCAGAGGGAACCUCAGGAUUGUGCGGGGGCGGGUAGACAUCGUGAAGAGUCCAGGGAAGUGAGGAGGGGCUGGGCUGGGCAGGCUUAAGCCCAGCGCAGGGCCGCAGCCCUCACGCCUGAGCAGAGAUCAGCCACUGCCACCGCGACAGGGACAGAGGGGCCCAGGGUCCCCCAGCCAGCCUCCCUCUGCGUCAGGAGAGGAGGGAACUAUUUCCAAAAAAGAAAGUAUAGACCAGGCGCGGUGGCUCACGCCUGUAAUCCCAGCACUUUGGAAGGCCGAGGCGGGCGGAUCACAAGGUCAGGAGAUCAAGACCAUUGUGAAACCUCGUCUCUACUAAAAAUACAAAAAAAUUUGGCCGGGCGCGGUGGCGGCCGCCUGUCGUCCCAGCUACUCAGGAGGCUGAGGCAGGAGAAUGGCGUGAUCCCGGGAGGCGGAGCUUGCAGUGAGCCGAGAUCGCGCCACUGCACUCCAGCCUGGG
This is a long non-coding RNA of Macaca fascicularis (crab-eating macaque), 1701 nucleotides long. The record is from Ensembl. NCBI's taxonomy places the organism in Eukaryota, Metazoa, Chordata, Mammalia, Primates, Cercopithecidae.